AACGCAACUUGCGCCCUUUGGUAUUCCGACGGGCAUGCCUGUUUGAGAGUCAUGAACAUCUCAAUCCUUCGGGUUUUAUGACCUGUUGGACUUGGAUUUGGGUGUUUGCCGCGACCUGCAAAGGACGUCGGCUCGCCUUAAAUGUGUUAGUGGGAAGGUGAUUACCUGUCAGCCCGGCGUAAUAAGUUUCGCUGGGCCUUGGGGUAGUUGUCGGCUUGCUCAUAACAACCAUCUUUUUUUUGUUUGACCUCAAAUCAGGUAGGGCUACCCGCUGAACUUAA
RNAcentral lists this unclassified non-coding RNA (281 nucleotides) under uncultured fungus. Its description in RNAcentral is "partial contains 5.8S ribosomal RNA, internal transcribed spacer 2, and large subunit ribosomal RNA". The record is from RNAcentral. Lineage: Eukaryota; Fungi.